RNAcentral lists this unclassified non-coding RNA (432 nucleotides) under soil metagenome. RNAcentral's name for it is "partial contains 5.8S ribosomal RNA, internal transcribed spacer 2, and large subunit ribosomal RNA". The stretch from base 1 to 120 matches the Rfam family "5.8S ribosomal RNA", at positions 35 to 154 of the family's 154-position model. The record is from RNAcentral.
GAUGAAGAACGUAGCGAAAUGCGAUACGUAAUGUGAAUUGCAGAAUUCAGUGAAUCAUCGAAUCUUUGAACGCAUAUUGCGCUCUCUGGUAUUCCGGAGAGCAUGCUUGUUUGAGUAUCAGUAAACACCUCAACUCCCUUUUCUUUUUUGAAAUGGGAGCUGGACUUGAGUGAUCCCAACACUUUUCUCACUGGAAAGUGGCGGGUCACUUGAAAUGCAGGUGCAGCUGGACUUUUCUCUGAGCUAUAAGCAUAUCUAUUUAGUCUGCCUAAAAAACAGAUUAUUACCUUUGCUGCAGCUAACAUAAAGGAGAUGAGUUCUUGUGCUGACUGAUGCAGGAUUCACAGAGACAGCUUUGCGGCUGACUUUGUAAACUCGAUCUCAAAUCAAGUAAGACUACCCGCUGAACUUAAGCAUAUCAAUAAGCGGGGA